GAUGAACGCUGGCGGCGUGCCUAAUACAUGCAAGUCGAGCGAACAGAUGAGGAGCUUGCUCCUCUGACGUUAGCGGCGGACGGGUGAGUAACACGUGGAUAACCUACCUAUAAGACUGGGAUAACUUCGGGAAACCGGAGCUAAUACCGGAUAAUAUAGUGAACCGCAUGGUUCAAUAGUGAAAGACGGUUUUGCUGUCACUUAUAGAUGGAUCCGCGCCGCAUUAGCUAGUUGGUAAGGUAACGGCUUACCAAGGCAACGAUGCGUAGCCGACCUGAGAGGGUGAUCGGCCACACUGGAACUGAGACACGGUCCAGACUCCUACGGGAGGCAGCAGUAGGGAAUCUUCCGCAAUGGGCGAAAGCCUGACGGAGCAACGCCGCGUGAGUGAUGAAGGUCUUCGGAUCGUAAAACUCUGUUAUUAGGGAAGAACAAAUGUGUAAGUAACUAUGCACGUCUUGACGGUACCUAAUCAGAAAGCCACGGCUAACUACGUG
Molecule: ribosomal RNA, 497 nt
Filed under: uncultured bacterium
Lineage: Bacteria
Description: partial 16S ribosomal RNA
Rfam family: Bacterial small subunit ribosomal RNA
Source: RNAcentral